RNAcentral lists this ribosomal RNA (465 nucleotides) under uncultured bacterium. Its description in RNAcentral is "bacterial SSU rRNA". It matches the Rfam family "Bacterial small subunit ribosomal RNA", at positions 339 to 797 of the family's 1533-position model. The record is from RNAcentral.
CUACGGGAGGCAGCAGUCGAGAAUUUUUCACAAUGGGCGCAAGCCUGAUGGAGCGACGCCGCGUGGGGGAUGAAUGGCUUCGGCCCGUAAACCCCUGUCAUUUGCGAUCAAACGUUGUUAUUUAAAAGAUGACAACCUGAUAGUAGCGAAAGAGGAAGGGACGGCUAACUCUGUGCCAGCAGCCGCGGUAAUACAGAGGUCCCAAGCGUUGUUCGGAUUCACUGGGCGUAAAGGGUGCGUAGGUGGUGAGGUAAGUCGGAUGUGAAAUCUCGGAGCUCAACUCCGAAACGGCAUUGGAAACUACCUUGCUCGAGGGUUGGAGGGGGGACUGGAAUGCUUGGUGUAGCAGUGAAAUGCGUAGAUAUCAAGCGGAACACCAGUGGCGAAGGCGAGUCCCUGGACAACUCCUGACACUGAGGCACGAAAGCUAGGGGAGCAAACAGGAUUAGAAACCCGAGUAGUCCC